This 426-nucleotide ribosomal RNA is filed under the name uncultured bacterium. Its description in RNAcentral is "bacterial SSU rRNA". It matches the Rfam family "Bacterial small subunit ribosomal RNA", at positions 355 to 775 of the family's 1533-position model. The record is from RNAcentral.
UGGGGAAUCUUGCGCAAUGGGCGAAAGCCUGACGCAGCGACGCCGCGUGAGUGAUGAAGGCCUUCGGGUUGUAAAGCUCUGUGGGGAGGAAAGAAUAAGUGCGUCCUAAUCAGCGCAUGAUGACGGUACCUCCUUAGCAAGCACCGGCUAACUCUGUGCCAGCAGCCGCGGUAAGACAGAGGGUGCAAACGUUGUUCGGAAUUACUGGGCGUAAAGCGUGUGUAGGCGGUGAGGUAAGUCGGAUGUGAAAGCCCAGGGCUCAACCCUGGAAGUGCACUCGAUACUGCUUCGCUUGAGUACUGGAGAGGUUGGUGGAAUUCUCGGUGUAGAGGUGAAAUUCGUAGAUAUCGAGAGGAACAUCUGUGGCGAAGGCGGCCAACUGGACAGAUACUGACGCUGAGACACGAAAGUGUGGGGAGCAAACAG